UACGGGGGGAGCAAGCGUUGUUCGGAUUUACUGGGCGUAAAGGGCGCGUAGGCGGUCAGCACAAGUCAGCUGUGAAAUCUCCGGGCUUAACCCGGAGCGGCCAAGUGAUACUGUCGUGCUAGAGUGCGGAAGGGGCUACUGGAAUUCUCGGUGUAGCGGUGAAAUGCGUAGAUAUCAGGAGGAACACCGGUGGCGAAGGCGGGUCUCUGGGCCGAUACUGACGCUGAGGAGCGAAAGCGUGGGGAGCGAACAGG
This 254-nucleotide ribosomal RNA is filed under the name uncultured bacterium. Its description in RNAcentral is "partial 16S ribosomal RNA". It matches the Rfam family "Bacterial small subunit ribosomal RNA", at positions 524 to 776 of the family's 1533-position model. The record is from RNAcentral.